GCAAACUUGGUCAUUUAGAGGAAGUAAAAGUCGUAACAAGGUUUCCGUAGGUGAACCUGCGGAAGGAUCAUUAUUGAAUUCGUCUUUGAAGCUGUUGCUGGCUCCUCCGGGGUAUGUGCACGCUUCAUAAGUCAUUUCAACCACCUGUGAACCUUUUGUAGUCUUGGGUGAUGCUACUCUUCAAAGGAAACUUUGGAUUUGAAUGCUGCAGGCUUGAAAAAGUCGGCUUCAUUCUGCAGCUGAACCCGGGUCUAUGCUUUACACACCCUUUGUAUGUUUUAGAAUGUGAUGCAAGGGCUUUAUCGCCUUUAAAUCUCAAUACAACUUUCAGCAACGGAUCUCUUGGCUCUCGCAUCGAUGAAGAACGCAGC
RNAcentral lists this unclassified non-coding RNA (371 nucleotides) under uncultured fungus. RNAcentral's name for it is "partial contains small subunit ribosomal RNA, internal transcribed spacer 1, and 5.8S ribosomal RNA". The stretch from base 1 to 73 matches the Rfam family "Eukaryotic small subunit ribosomal RNA", at positions 1759 to 1831 of the family's 1831-position model. Lineage: Eukaryota; Fungi. The record is from RNAcentral.